This 73-nucleotide transfer RNA is filed under the name Monoraphidium neglectum. It matches the Rfam family "tRNA". Rfam says of the family: Transfer RNA (tRNA) molecules are approximately 80 nucleotides in length. Their secondary structure includes four short double-helical elements and three loops (D, anti-codon, and T loops). Lineage: Eukaryota; Viridiplantae; Chlorophyta; Chlorophyceae; Sphaeropleales; Selenastraceae. The record is from Rfam by way of RNAcentral.
GCCUCCCUAGCUCAGUCGGUAGAGCGCAAGACUCUUAAUCUUGUGGUCGCCGGUUCGAGCCCGGCGGGAGGUG